GACGAACCGUGCGAACGUUGUUCGGAAUCACUGGGCUUAAAGGGCGCGUAGGCGGCUGCGCAAGUCCAGGGUGAAAGCCUCCAGCUCAACUGGAGAAGUGCCUUGGAAACUGUGCAGCUCGAGCGAGGUAGGGGUGAUGGGAACUUCCGGUGGAGCGGUGAAAUGCGCAGAUAUCAGGAGGAACACCGGUGGCGAAGGCGGAUCUCUGGGCCAUUACUGACGCUGAGGAGCGAAAGCGUGGGGAGCGAACAGG
Molecule: ribosomal RNA, 253 nt
Filed under: uncultured bacterium
Lineage: Bacteria
Description: partial 16S ribosomal RNA
Rfam family: Bacterial small subunit ribosomal RNA
Source: RNAcentral